GAUGAACGCUGGCGGCGUGCCUAAUACAUGCAAGUCGAGCGGAGCGAGGACGGGUAAGUCACACGUGUAUAACCUCCUAUAGGACUGGGGUACCUUCGGGAACCCGUAUCUAGACCGGUUGCUUAUAGAUGGAUCCGCGCUGCAUUGGCUAGUUGGUAAGGUAACGGCUUACCAAGGCAACGAUGCAUGGCCGACCUGAGAGGGUGAUCGGCCACACUGGAACUGAGACACGGUCCAGACUCCUACGGGAGGCAGCAGUAGGGAAUAUUCCGCAAUGGGCGAAAGCCUGACGGAGCCAUGCCGCGUGAGUGAUGAAGGUCUUCGGAUCGUAAAACUCUGUUAUUAGGGAAGCGGUACCUAAUCAGAAAGCAACGGCUAACUACGUGCCAGCAGCCGCGGUAAUAC
This 405-nucleotide ribosomal RNA is filed under the name uncultured bacterium. Its description in RNAcentral is "partial 16S ribosomal RNA". It matches the Rfam family "Bacterial small subunit ribosomal RNA", at positions 28 to 526 of the family's 1533-position model. The record is from RNAcentral.